CGCCCCCCUGGGAAUGAACCCGGCCCCGAUUCUUCGGGAGGCAGCAGUAGGGAAUCUUCCGCAAGGACGAAAUUCUGACGGAGCAACGCCGCGUGAGUGAUGAAGGUUUUCGGAUCGUAAAGCUCUGUUGUUAGGGAAGAACAAGUGCGAGAGUAACUGCUCGCACCUUGACGGUACCUAACCAGAAAGCCACGGCUAACUACGUGCCAGCAGCCGCGGUAAUACGUAGGUGGCAAGCGUUGUCCGGAAUUAUUGGGCGUAAAGGGCUCGCAGGCGGUUUCUUAAGUCUGAUGUGAAAGCCCCCGGCUCAACCGGGGAGGGUCAUUGGAAACUGGGAAACUUGAGUGCAGAAGAGGAGAGUGGAAUUCCACGUGUAGCGGUGAAAUGCGUAGAGAUGUGGAGGAACACCAGUGGCGAAGGCGACUCUCUGGUCUGUAACUGACGCUGAGGAGCGAAAGCGUGGGGAGCGAACAGGAUUAGAUACCCUGGUAGUCCACGCCGUAAACGAUGAGUGCUAAGUGUUAGGGGGUUUCCGCCCCUUAGUGCUGCAGCUAACGCAUUAAGCACUCCGCCUGGGGAGUACGGUCGCAAGACUGAAACUCAAAGGAAUUGACGGGGGCCCGCACAAGCGGUGGAGCAUGUGGUUUAAUUCGAAGCAACGCGAAGAACCUUACCAGGUCUUGACAUCCUCUGACAACCCUAGAGAUAGGGCUUUCCCUUCGGGGACAGAGUGACAGGUGGUGCAUGGUUGUCGUCAGCUCGUGUCGUGAGAUGUUGGGUUAAGUCCCGCAACGAGCGCAACCCUUGAUCUUAGUUGCCAGCAUUCAGUUGGGCACUCUAAGGUGACUGCCGGUGACAAACCGGAGGAAGGUGGGGAUGACGUCAAAUCAUCAUGCCCCUUAUGACCUGGGCUACACACGUGCUACAAUGGACAGAACAAAGGGCUGCAAGACCGCAAGGUUUAGCCAAUCCCAUAAAUCUGUUCUCAGUUCGGAUCGCAGUCUGCAACUCGACUGCGUGAAGCUGGAAUCGCUAGUAAUCGCGGAUCAGCAUGCCGCGGUGAAUACGUUCCCGGGCCUUGUACACACCGCCCGUCACACCACGAGAGUUUGCAACACCCGAAGUCGGUGAGGUAACCUUUAUGGAGCCAGCCGCCGAAGGUGUCAGAUUGUCCUUCUUCACCAUCUCUAUCGC
This 1194-nucleotide ribosomal RNA is filed under the name Bacillus safensis. Its description in RNAcentral is "bacterial SSU rRNA". It matches the Rfam family "Bacterial small subunit ribosomal RNA", at positions 306 to 1503 of the family's 1533-position model. The record is from RNAcentral. Lineage: Bacteria; Bacillati; Bacillota; Bacilli; Caryophanales; Bacillaceae.